Molecule: ribosomal RNA, 301 nt
Filed under: uncultured bacterium
Lineage: Bacteria
Description: partial 16S ribosomal RNA
Rfam family: Bacterial small subunit ribosomal RNA
Source: RNAcentral
CAGCAGCCACGGUAAUACGAGGGGGGCAAGCGUUGUUCGGAAUUAUUGGGCGUAAAGGGUGCGUAGGCGGUUUCGUAAGUCUUAUGUGAAAUCUAUGGGCUCAACCCAUAGUCUGCAUGGGAAACUGCGAGGCUUGAGGAUGGGAGAGGUGAGUGGAAUUUCCGGUGUAGCGGUGAAAUGCGUAGAUAUCGGAAGGAACACCUGUGGCGAAAGCGGCUCACUGGACCAUUUCUGACGCUGAUGCACGAAAGCUAGGGGAGCAAACAGGAUUAGAUACCCGGGUAGUCCCUGUCUCUUAUAC